Molecule: ribosomal RNA, 492 nt
Filed under: uncultured bacterium
Lineage: Bacteria
Description: partial 16S ribosomal RNA
Rfam family: Bacterial small subunit ribosomal RNA
Source: RNAcentral
AGUGAACGCUGGCGGUAGGCCUAACACAUGCAAGUCGAACGGCAGCACAGUAAGAGCUUGCCCUUACGGGUGGCGAGUGGCGGACGGGUGAGGAAUACAUCGGAAUCUACUUUUUCGUGGGGGAUAACGUAGGGAAACUUACUCUAAUACCGCAUACGACCUACGGGUGAAAGCAGGGGAUCUUCGGACCUUGCGCGAUUGAAUGAGCCGAUGUCGGAUUAGCUAGUUGGCGGGGUAAAGGCCCACCAAGGCGACGAUCCGUAGCUGGUCUGAGAGGAUGAUCAGCCACACUGGAACUGAGACACGGUCCAGACUCCUACGGGAGGCACCAGUGGGGAAUAUUGGGCAAUGGGCGCAAGCCUGAUCCAGCCAUACCGCGUGGGUGAAGAAGGCCUUCGGGUUGUAAAGCCCUUUUGUUGGGAAAGAAAAGCAGCAGGUUAAUACCCCGCUGUUCUGACGGUACCCAAAGAAUAAGCACCGGCUAACUUCGUG